GAAAUGCGAUAAGUAAUGUGAAUUGCAGAAUUCAGUGAAUCAUCGAAUCUUUGAACGCACCUUGCGCUCCUUGGUAUUCCGAGGAGCAUGCCUGUUUGAGUGUCAUUAAAUUCUCAACCUUGACUUUUUUUGUAAAAAGUUCAAGGCUUGGAUUGUGGGGGUUUUUUUGCGGGCUUCCCCUGGAAGUCGGCUCCCCUUAAAUGCAUUAGUGGAGACUAGUAAUCGUCGCCUUGGUGUGAUAAUUAUCUGCGCUUUGGAUGCAUGAUUGACUCUUGAUGUCUUUGCUCAUUACAGUCCCCCAUUGGACAAACUUUACAUGACUUUUGACCUCAAAUCAGGUAGGACUACCCGCUGAACUUAA
Molecule: unclassified non-coding RNA, 361 nt
Filed under: uncultured Agaricales
Lineage: Eukaryota; Fungi; Basidiomycota; Agaricomycetes; Agaricales
Description: sequence contains ITS1
Rfam family: 5.8S ribosomal RNA (bases 1-105)
Source: RNAcentral